This is an RNA transcript of Rosa rugosa (rugosa rose), 3499 nucleotides long. It is a transcript of the gene named DNA polymerase zeta processivity subunit-like, with no coding region annotated. NCBI's taxonomy places the organism in Eukaryota, Viridiplantae, Streptophyta, Magnoliopsida, Rosales, Rosaceae. The transcript has 9 exons. The record is from RefSeq and is a predicted model, not a curated record.
GUCCAAAAGAAAAAAACAAAGAAAACAAAACCUAGCUAGCUUCUCGACCCUCUCAACCCUCUCUCUCGACAUCAGUUUUACAAUAGCCUCCACGAAACCUAGCCUCUCUCUCUCUCUCAGUCCUCGCUCUCUGUUUCGUGAACCUCUCUCUCCAUCAAGUCUAGCCAUCUGCAAGCGUUUAACGAUGGCCAGCAAGAUUGGACUCUGCGACUCGACUCGUUCUCCAACUCGUUUCGGGGGAUCUCGAGCCUCUUGUCGUCGCCGUCGAAGACCUCGACGUGCAGCAACAGAUUCAUUCCAUGCCAGUAGUCGUCCGAGCUCCACUAGUUUAGGAUGAACGACAAGGCGUCGCCGGUGAAGGACGGCGGGAAUGAGGCCUACUCUGGCUGUUGAGAUUAGUGCUUUUUGGGUCUAAUUUCAAUUCUUUUCUGCUCCUGCAGGUGGCGUUGCCAAUAUGGACGGCGAGAACAUUCCGGGCCCAACUUCCCAAACCCUAGUGCUCCCAAUUCUUCCACCAUGCCAUGGACGGUGUAGCUGUGCCUGGGCUACUUCAAUUUGGCGUGGGCAACACAGUCAAGAUGAAACCGCUCAGAUUCUGGUUGAGUUAUUGGAGGUGGCAAUCACAUCAAUCGUUUUCCUGAAAGGAAUUUAUCCUGCAGGUGCUUUUGAGAGAAGGAAGUACAUGAAUUUGGUUGUUCAUAGAACUCGGCACCCUGAGCUCAGAGAUUAUAUCCAUUCUGCUGUCUCAGGACUUCUUCCUUUUAUCAAAAGGAUAUCUCCUGCUGAAGUAGCUAUGCAACUGGUAAUUCAAAUGUGGCUGAACUUAAUAGAUGGAACAUGUACUCAAGCUUAAAUAAGAGCCAUGGAGCACUUCCUUGGACUUCUAGAAAUGAUAUGACUCUGCGUUCUGCAAUGGCUGUCGAGUUGUCAAUCUUCUUGAAUGAUAAAAGGUUGCUAUCCACACAAGUAAAAGCACCUGCCCAAGCAAGGCAAAUGGUAUGGAGCACUUAGAGUUUCCAUGACAAGUCCAGGACUUAUCUAUGAGCCUUAUGCACCUCGUGAAAAAGUUCCAUUUUUUCAAGAGGUUAGUAAUUUCUUUUAUUAUUCUUCGAAAUUGUUGUACAAGCCUUCAGAGUAAUGGAACUCUACUGAGAGUUAGUAGCAGUUUUAUGCACGAGCGGCAAUAAUAAAAAUAUUAUUAUAAACUUGUGGAUUGAGCAUUUCGAUCAGUUAAUUCCGAGAUUUGUUUGGAGUAGCUUUCCCCUCACUCAAGAGGCAUCAGUUGUCAAGAAAAAGAGGUACUGUCGUGCACCAGAUAUUUACCCAGCUUAUCUUCUUUGUAUUUUCUUUUCCCAAAUCUAUUUAGCUGAUUUGUUUUCAUGUAUCCUCUUUUUUUUUUUUUUUUUGGCAUUCAGUGGUUGAAGUUUCAGGUUUCUUUCAAAUCAUACAUACCCUGUUGUGUUAACUAUCUUACUUACGCAUUGUAAAGAUUUUUCAAUUCGGACAUAGUGUUCUUUUGCAUCUGCUUUAUCUUUGUCUUAAAAAUCUAAUCUUGGUGCAUCAUGAAUCCAUUCUAAUCUAGAUAUUAAGAAUAAUUAUAGAUAUUCACUAAUCCCAUUAUCUAAGAUAAGUUCUAAUAAGCUUGAGUCUUGCAGGCUUUAAUGGAUGAAGCAAGGUUUUGGGGAGCUUUUGGAUUAUACGCUACAAUAAAUGUGGUUAUUUCGUUCCUGACAUUGUGGUGGCUGCAGUAAUUGGAGUUAUGACCAGUUGGUCUGUAGGCCCUCUGGUACCUAUUUGUGGUCGCUGGUUAGCCAGGUCAUCCAUUUUGCAAGUCUUAUUGCAUCCUAGUGUGCUAGACUUGGCUCCGUCAUCUCAGUUCUUUCCAUAUAGCACGGCUGCACCCAAGAGAGUUGUCUUCCAGCAUACUUUUCUUACUGCAGGUAUCCAAACUAGCACAAGUUAUCAUGUGAAAUGAAGAUCAUACUCUCUCUCUCUCUCUCUCUCGCCAUUGAUAUAUUCCAAGCUUGUUCGUACAUGUUUAGCUGUACACCUACUGGUAUUUGAUAGUUGAAAAUAGAGAGAUCUGUUUGGUUAGUGAGAAAAUUAAGAUAAGAGAGAUUGUUGUUAUCAUAUUUUGAACGAUUUGCUUUGGGUGUUCUAAGCCUUAUCUUCAACAAUACUGUUUUUGAUGAUGAUUAUCAGUUCUUUGUAGGAAUGUGGAUUUUUUAUGUUAAUUUUUUUUUUUUUGGCUUUUUGGUUGAAUGAUAUUUAAGUAGGAUAAAGGCUAGGUCUUGAGGUUUAAUUUUUAGGAAUGAUGGAAAAAGAAACAAUGAGUUUAUAGUUGGUUGUUUGGACAUUCCCAUUGAAUAAAUCUACAUCACAGUCCAGCUAGCCGGGACAAUUUCCAUUUGGUUUUUGAUUCUUCGAUCCUUUUGGUUUCGGACGUGGUUGAUAAUCAGUACAAAUUGUAUAUAAUUGUUAUUUCAAAUACUUUGCCUUAAAACAAAACAACGAGAGCCUCCAGAGUCCGUGCAGCCAUCAAUUAACCUCAACCUCAAUUGGUGCAGCCACUGCCCUUUCUCUCCCUCUCACUCUCAGCAGUAAGACCAAUUCUUUCUUACUUUCUUGUAUCAAGUUUUGAAUGCUUUUGUUUUUCUUGUCUCAUUCAAUUUCAGCUUCUGGGUUAAAGCUAAUAUAACUGAUUUAGGUUUCAGAUUGCUUUUCAAGCUAUGCAAGUGUGUGAUUGUAUCUCAAUUUUUGGGUUUUUCUUUCUCUUAUGAUCUUCCCUUUUAAAUUCUUGUUCUUUCAUCGCAUUUUUUGUAUCUGUUACUGGGCCUUUUUAAAGUUUGAGCUGAAAGGUAGCUACUUCUUUUUCAGUCAUUUGUCUUCUUUAUUUUAAGGUGUCGGCGGCAAAAUGGGACAAGAGGCAGCUACACUUGAGGAUUCUCCAGUUGAGUCCUUGCUGGAGGUAGCCUACUCCCUUUUCCAAACCUCAAUUGCAUUUUUGGACUAUUGAAAUGAUAUCUAAUGUUUUCUAAGGUCGAUUAAGAGGUGAUUCUCUCAGUGGGACACAACGUAUGAUGAAUUUUGGUGACAAAUACACCUAUUUCUAGUUGUUUAUCACUAACGUACUGAAGCUAUAGAGAUUAACGGGUAAUCAUUUCUAAGCUAAACUUAUCACUUGUAUAUAUCAUAUCUAGUGUCAAUUGUGUAAUGCUGUUAUUACUUCUGCACAGACCAAAUUUCAUCAAAUUACUAAACAAGUGUAAAUCUUGCAGGCCAAUUGCGAGUGAGACAUUUGAGGUUUUAUUGAAGCCAAUGGCAGCUGAAGGCUAAGAGCUAUCGAGAAUAUGAAUGUUUUUUUAUUCAUGUGUAGCUAGCUAGGAAUGCUCUUGUUUGGUGCAUUAUCUAGUUACUUGAUUUUAUGGAUGCUUGAAUAAUGGUACUUGAAUGAUAUGGAUUAGAAUACUGUUUAUAUGGUAAUAUAUCGAGCAUUAUU